This 300-nucleotide ribosomal RNA is filed under the name uncultured Bacillus sp. RNAcentral describes it as "bacterial SSU rRNA". It matches the Rfam family "Bacterial small subunit ribosomal RNA", at positions 496 to 795 of the family's 1533-position model. Lineage: Bacteria; Bacillati; Bacillota; Bacilli; Caryophanales; Bacillaceae. The record is from RNAcentral.
GCGAACGCGGGGGCAGAGGACGCGGUAGUACGAAGGGUGCAAACCGUGUGCGGAAUUAUGUGGCGGAAAGCGCACGGAGGCGGUCCAUAAAGUCCCAUGUGAAAUCCCACAGCUUAACGGUUGAAGUGCAUGGGAAACCGCUGGACUGGAGUACGUAAGAGGAUCGCGGAAGGCCCGGUGGAGAGGGGAAAUUCGGAGAUAUCGGGAGGAACACCAGUGGCGAAGGCGGCGAUCUGGGAAGAUACUGACGCUGAGGUGCGAAAGCGUGGGGAGCAAACAGGAUUAGAUACCCCGGUAGUC